AUUGAACGCUGGCGGCAGGCCUAACACAUGCAAGUCGAGCGAGCGGCGGACGGGAGAGUAAUGCGUGGGAAUUGACCAGUCGAGGGGGAUAAACGUUGGAAACGACUGCUAAUACCGCAUACGAUUGGAUUGCACAGUGGGGAUUAGCUAGUUGGUGAGGUAAUGGUUCACCAAGGAGACGAUCCCUAGCUGGUCUGAGUGGAUGAUCAGCCACACUGGAACUGAGACACGGUCCAGACUCCUUCGGGAGGCAGCAGUGGGGAAUAUUGCACAAUGGGGGAAACCCUGAUGCAGCCAUGCCGCGUGUGUGAAGAAGGCCUUCGGGUUGUAAAGCACUUUCAGCGCGGAGGCGUUACUCGCAGAAGAAGCACCGGCUAACUCCGUGCCAGCAGCCGCGGUAAUAC
RNAcentral lists this ribosomal RNA (404 nucleotides) under uncultured bacterium. RNAcentral's name for it is "partial 16S ribosomal RNA". It matches the Rfam family "Bacterial small subunit ribosomal RNA", at positions 30 to 526 of the family's 1533-position model. The record is from RNAcentral.